RNAcentral lists this ribosomal RNA (253 nucleotides) under uncultured bacterium. RNAcentral describes it as "partial 16S ribosomal RNA". It matches the Rfam family "Bacterial small subunit ribosomal RNA", at positions 524 to 776 of the family's 1533-position model. The record is from RNAcentral.
UACGUAGGGCGCAAGCGUUGUCCGGAAUUAUUGGGCGUAAAGAGCUCGUAGGCGGUUUGUCGCGUCUGCUGUGAAAACCUAAGGCUCAACCUUGGGCUUGCAGUGGGUACGGGCAGACUAGAGUGCGGUAGGGGUGACUGGAAUUCCUGGUGUAGCGGUGGAAUGCGCAGAGAUCAGGAGGAACACCGAUGGCGAAGGCAGGUCACUGGGCCGCAACUGACGCUGAGGAGCGAAAGCAUGGGGAGCGAACAGG